RNAcentral lists this long non-coding RNA (1443 nucleotides) under Coturnix japonica (Japanese quail). RNAcentral describes it as "lncRNA (ENSCJPG00005014783.1)". Lineage: Eukaryota; Metazoa; Chordata; Aves; Galliformes; Phasianidae. The record is from RNAcentral.
UCGUAAUACAAGAUGAUUUAUAUUAAUCAGCAUCCUCUAAAAAUCAGUGCAAAACAAAUGCAACACAACUGAAGACCUUGAAUAAAGACUUUCUGAGCCAGCCACUGCUCCCUCUGAAUAUGCCCUCUUGACAAAUGGAAGCCACAACUUUCAGUAGCCUAAUAUGUGCUGAAGAGUUCUGAAGAGUUUCAAGUUGUCAGAGACCAUCCACUGUCAUCCAUGACAAAAUAACCUGCUGCCUGCUUCUACUGCUGAACCAUUAAAUAAAAUGCUUAUGCCAAGACACAGCUGUGCCAGAUCUCUUGUUUCAUCAAGGAACAAAUGAUAUUAAGGCCAUCUUAUGCCUUAAUUCACAGAAAAUUUAUAGGGUAAAUAGGAAUGGAGUGGCAAGAGAGGAGGUGGACAGUGGGGAUUUUGCUGGUUUCACUUAGCUUUUGUGGCACCAAGGUGAAAAAGCCAAAAGCUUUUGUGCUUUGAUUGCUGUAAUGAAGGUAACUUCUCUUGGUUGCAUGUGACUUCUGAUGCUCUGCAGUAAAGCACCAACUCUGCUUGGCUGCUCUGUGGUACCUAGGUAUUUGCAUGCUGGCAAGAUAGAAGAGAGGACUCAAGAAUAAGAUACAAAUGAGGUAGAAUAGUGUGCCAGGAAGAAAAGAAAGGAGAAAUAAAAGAGGAAGGUCACUGCAGACAAAGUAAUCAGAAGAAUGAGACAACUCUGGACCAAAAUGCAGUCUACCUCUUACACUGGAUAAAACUUAUAUUACCAGAUAUCAAACCGGUACUAUUUGUAGAUGGUGAUGUAUUUAAAUGUUGAAAAAAAUAUCUGUUUCAAAGCCUUCUAAAAGUCUAGCAGCAGCUGGAGCAGACCCUUCAGUUUAGCCACUCUAGAGCAAAAUCCAGAUGACCACAUGGUCAAAUGCCUUGCUUUCACCUCCAACAAACUUAACUCUCCCAUAGGUGGAGAAUUAUAAGCAAUACCUAUGGUUCCAGAACCAUAAACUGUGAGCACCACAACAGCCUGCUGGAAUUCAGAGUCCCUUCACAUCUUGAAGUUUGCUUACACAGGCUCUACCCAAAUACGCAUAUUUUAGCUCACAAAUAUGAUCUGGGUCAUGCAGUUCCCCUGUUAGCUGCAUUUUCCACAGUGUCUCUGUACAGGUAAAACAGUUUCAGAGCUCAACUCCUCCUCAAGCCUGAUAGCAGCAGGAAAAUAUCUUCAAUGGUAGGUAAUGUCUUUAGGCUGUUGUACAUCUCUGUUUCACUCAUACAUUUGUCAGUACAGUGUAUUAAUUUAGCUACAUUAUUUUGAAGAAGCCUUUUGAAUCUGCUUAGAAUAACAGGAAGAAUAGAGAUAACCUGGCAGUACAAGAGAUUUGCAUGUUCUGCAGAAAUUCCAGUGAUGAGACUGUGAACUGUAUUAGUAAGAAGUCUUGAAGGACUACAAAG